Rattus norvegicus (Norway rat) is the source of this 771-nucleotide non-coding RNA. The record is from RefSeq and is a predicted model, not a curated record. NCBI's taxonomy places the organism in Eukaryota, Metazoa, Chordata, Mammalia, Rodentia, Muridae.
ACCCCUAGAAGAGUCAAGGCACAUGGCAUUGACCACCGGACCUUCAUCCUCUGGUGGUCAGAUAAGAAUCUCUGCUUCCCCGAGUCCCUCCCCAUCCUAGAUAGCAAGAAGAGGGAGACUGCCUCAGUGUUGCAAUGGAUUUCUGGACCCUCGAGAGGGAUUCAGGAAAUAACCAUCCCACCAUAACCGAGUAAGGAAAACAGAAGACAGUAUGUGAGCAAACGCAGAAAUAGGGUAGAAGAGCGUUAGGAAGAGCCUGCAGGAUGGGCCCCGUGCAGUGAAGCAGGCUGCAGAAUAUGUGCUUCUUGUGGUCCAGGAGAGGUAAACAAGGUUGCUAGGAAACACUGUUGGUAAGGUAGCUCAAGCAGCCACUGCUAAAACAAAACAAAACCCUUUUUUUCUUCUCAGACCUUGCUCUUGGAAUGACGACUCUGAGACUAAUAAUUUAUUAGUAAAUGCCUAGGCCAUGAGCUUUGGCUCAUUCCCUGACUAGCCUGUAACUUAUUUAGUCCACUCAAAUUAUUCCAUAAGAGCAGGUGCAACCUUAGCAGCUGAGGAGAAGGGAGAGUAUUUCCAUGGUGUACAGCCAACACAGCUGGGACCCAGUGUGGGACACCGGACCUCAGAGCCUCUCCCAGCCCUUUCUUGCUCUUCAUUCUCUGCAUAGAGCAUUCAGCCACCAGGAAGUAAGACACCCACUUGCAACUCCACAUGGGUCUUGAAUGUCUUCAGGGAAAAGUAACUUCCAAUAAAGAUGCACACUGAUCUGAA